Molecule: ribosomal RNA, 255 nt
Filed under: uncultured bacterium
Lineage: Bacteria
Description: partial 16S ribosomal RNA
Rfam family: Bacterial small subunit ribosomal RNA
Source: RNAcentral
UACGAGAGGUGCAAGCGUUGUCCGGAUUUAUUGGGCGUAAAGCGUUUCUAAAGGCGCUUUUGUAAGUUGUUUUUCAAAGACCGAGGCUCAACCUCGGGAAGGGAGGCAAUACUGCAAGAGUUGAAAUAUUUCGGGGUUACUAGAACUAUUGGUGUAGGGGUGAAAUCCGUUGAUAUCAAUAGGAAUUCCAAGGGCGAAGGCAGGUAACUAGGAAUUUUUUGACGCUGAUGAACGAAAGCUAGGGGAGCGAAAGGG